RNAcentral lists this transfer RNA (60 nucleotides) under Capra hircus (goat). It matches the Rfam family "tRNA", at positions 6 to 65 of the family's 71-position model. From Rfam's summary of the family: Transfer RNA (tRNA) molecules are approximately 80 nucleotides in length. Their secondary structure includes four short double-helical elements and three loops (D, anti-codon, and T loops). The record is from Rfam by way of RNAcentral. Lineage: Eukaryota; Metazoa; Chordata; Mammalia; Artiodactyla; Bovidae. RNAcentral also lists the same sequence under 1 other name.
UGUGGCUUAGCUGGUAAAGAAUCUGCCUGCGAUGCAGGAGACCUGGGUUUGAUCCCAGCA